RNAcentral lists this unclassified non-coding RNA (379 nucleotides) under uncultured Oligoflexales bacterium. Its description in RNAcentral is "contains 16S-23S intergenic spacer region". Lineage: Bacteria; Pseudomonadati; Bdellovibrionota; Oligoflexia; Oligoflexales. The record is from RNAcentral.
UCCGUGUUAACCACGGCAGUCCCUCUAGAGUGCCCAACUGAAUGCUGGCAACUAAAGGCAAGGGUUGCGCUCGUUGCGGGACUUAACCCAACAUGUCACCACACGUGCUGACGACAGCCAUGCAGCACCUGUCUCCCGGCUGUAUUGCUACAGAAGCCGUAUUUCUACGGAUGUCCGGGGAUGUCAAACCCAGGUAAGGUUUUGCGCGUUGCUUCGAAUUAAACCACAUGAUCCACCGCUUGUGCGGGCCCCCGUCAAUUCCUUUGAGUUUUAGUCUUGCGACCGUACUUCCCAGGCGGGGUACUUAUUGCGUUAGCUCCGGCUCUGCAGGGGUCUAUUCCCCCGACACCUAGUGAACAUCGUUUAGGGCCGAGACUAC